This is a long non-coding RNA of Rhinolophus ferrumequinum (greater horseshoe bat), 331 nucleotides long. RefSeq lists it as uncharacterized. NCBI's taxonomy places the organism in Eukaryota, Metazoa, Chordata, Mammalia, Chiroptera, Rhinolophidae. The record is from RefSeq and is a predicted model, not a curated record. The transcript has 3 exons.
GUAACUGUGGUCAGAAGAAAAAGAGAGAGACUGUGAGAAGGCACACAAACAGAACCUGAGCCAAAGAGUCUGUCUCAUCUGGGGUAUUCGCCAUUAUCACCAAUGUGGAGGCACCUCAGGCUUUCAGGAAUAACCGUCUAACUGUGAUUGGAAUAACCCUAGCAGCUGUUAUGGAAAGUGGAAGGCAUGUAGAGGAAAGCUGUAUGAGCAGGCUCUGUCCCUUGAAUAUACGACAAGAAGUUCUUUUGAAAAGCAAUUUCUUGGACGUCAUAGGAAUGGCGGCAGCAGGGCACACUUUCUAAGUUCCCCUCCGGAUCUUAUUACAAACAGG